This 1122-nucleotide long non-coding RNA is filed under the name Mus musculus (house mouse). RNAcentral describes it as "long non-coding RNA chr13:55619483-55620605". Lineage: Eukaryota; Metazoa; Chordata; Mammalia; Rodentia; Muridae. The record is from RNAcentral.
AAGUGAGAUAAGGAAGAGACAGAGGCAAAAGCCAUGAAAGCUGGCAGGGACUGCUUCUCUAAGUACUCAAAGGCCAGGCAGGAAGGGAGCAUUUAUCUCCUGAGAGGAAGUGUCUGCAGGACUUGCAAACCCUGUGAGAAAAUCAUCACAGGAGCUGGACUCAAACACCGCCCCUAGUACACUCAGCACAAAAGUUGCGAGUUGAAACCAGAGAGUGAGACUUUUUUUUAAAUUAUUAUUAUUUUAUUACUGGGUAUUUAUUUCAUUUACAUUUCCAAUGCUAUCCCAAAAGUCCCCCACACCCUCCCACAACCACCCCCCCCACCCACUCCCACCUCUUGGCCCUGGUGAUCCCCUGUGAGAGUGAGACUUUUAAGACAGUGACGGUCAAGAUAACCACUUCCAUUGUGUUGUUUCCUCUCUGACCUUGAAACUUGGCAUGUGUUUCUCAGAAAGAGUUCCCUAGUUUUUGUUUUGUUUUGUUUUAAGAUUUAUUUAAUAUAUGUGAGUACAUUGUUGCUAUCUUCAGACACACCAGAAAGAGGGCACCGGAUCUCAUUACAGUUGGUUGUGAGCCACCAUGUGGUUGCUGGAAAUUGAAUUCAGGACCUCUGGAAGAGCAAUCAGUGCUCUUAACCACUGAGCCAUCUCUCCAGCCCCUUGUUUUGUUUUUUGAAAGAGGGUUUCUCUUAUAUAGUCCUGGCUGUCCUGGAACCUGCUCUGUAGAUCAGGCUAGUCUCGAACUCAGAGAUCUGCUUGCCUCUCUGCCUUCUAAGUGCUGGGAUUAAAUGCAUGCUCCACCAUUGCCAGAUGGCUCAGUAUUUUUUAAUACAGACAGAAUUGGGGGCUGGAGAGAUGGAUCAGUGUUUCAGAGCACUUGCUGUUCUUACAGAGGAUCCAGGGCCUGUUCUUAGCACCCACAUGGUGGCUCACUGUCUAUAACCACAGUUCCGGGUGAUCUGACUCCCUCUUCUGGCCUCCACACAUACCAGGCACUCAGCACAGGAACAGGAAGAUGCCUCUGAGUUUGAAGCCAGUCUGGUACAUAGUGAGUCCCAUGCCAGCCAAAGCUGCUGAGUGAGAUUCUGUCUUAACCCCUGACAAGUGACACCUCCAAACUCC